UACGUAGGGGGCGAGCGUUGUCCGGAUUUACUGGGCGUAAAGGGUGCGUAGGCGGGCAGGUAAGUCAGUGGUGAAAUCUCCGGGCUUAACCCGGAAACUGCCGUUGAUACUAUCUGUCUUGAAUAUCGUGGAGGUAAGCGGAAUAUGUCAUGUAGCGGUGAAAUGCUUAGAUAUGACAUAGAACACCCAUUGCGAAGGCAGCUUACUACACGAUCAUUGACGCUGAGGCACGAAAGCGUGGGGAGCAAACAGG
This 253-nucleotide ribosomal RNA is filed under the name uncultured bacterium. RNAcentral's name for it is "partial 16S ribosomal RNA". It matches the Rfam family "Bacterial small subunit ribosomal RNA", at positions 524 to 776 of the family's 1533-position model. The record is from RNAcentral.